Eriocheir sinensis (Chinese mitten crab) is the source of this 1981-nucleotide long non-coding RNA. RefSeq lists it as uncharacterized. The transcript has 3 exons. NCBI's taxonomy places the organism in Eukaryota, Metazoa, Arthropoda, Malacostraca, Decapoda, Varunidae. The record is from RefSeq and is a predicted model, not a curated record.
ACUCACAAGGCGCCAGCUACAAGCAUCUCCCAAGUCGCCACCUACGUGCAACUCACAAGGCGCCAGCUACAAGCAUCUUCCAAGUCGCCACCUACGUGCAACUCACAAGGCGCCAGCUACAAGCAUCUCACAAGUCGCCACCAACGUGCAACUCACAAGGCGCCAUCUACAAGCCUCGAGCACACCAGCUACAAGCAACUCUACAGGCGUCCAGCCUACAAGCCUCGAGCACACCAGCUACCAGCAACUCUACAGGCGUCCAGCCUACAAGCCUCGAGCACACCUGCUACAAGCAACUCUACAGGCGUCCAGCCUACAAGCCUCGAGCACACCAGCUACAAGCAACUCUACAGGCGUCCAGCCUACAAGCCCCGAGCACACCCACAGGCCUACGCAGUCGAUAGCGAGGGCCACAAUCUACAAGCCGCUCCCCCGCUUCAAGCCAGCACUGCUACGUACCCUGCAAGCCACUCCACGAUACGGCAGAGGUAUUCACACCUGCAACGAGGAGGCACGCACCGCUGACCUUGGGACACCCCGCAUGCCCCUCGCUCCACAGCUGGCGGCACCACCGCCGCUGCCGGGAGCAUCGGCCCAAACCUCUUCCGGCAAACAGUCAGCAAGGGUACCCGCGGCCAUCUCCCGGUGACUGCAAGCCGUUCCCACUACCGUUUCUUGCAAGGCGUUUUCUCAAGAGGUUACACACCCAAGUCGUCUUAUCUGCCACCGCCGCCCAUCUCUUACUAUAACAAGGACGACGCGGCCAUCAUACGUCUGGCGGCAGUGUACCGGCUCCCGCAGCCGCGGCCGCUCAAAUUGCUGGGUCAGCAGUUUUUCAACCUCCAUGGCGAGUCCUCCGAUGUCAGCCCAUCCCUCACCUCUCACCGCCGCUGUGGCCGCGGCCGAGGUUUCCUGACGCGCCUACAACGACUGCACGUCACCCAGGGCAUCACAAGCCGUCGCCCUCUCCACUACAUCAGCUGACUAAUCUUGGCCGCAGAAUUCGUUCACCCCCGGGUUCGUCUGCAUACUUACAACCCACUCAAGGUUCAAGGACACCCUCACCAGCAUCCCCUCGCACCAGCCGCAGUAUUACAGGCUCAAAAUCAUGAUGUUGCGUUUUCUGACCAUCUUAUUGUCCCUCGGCUCCCUGCUUGCAACAACACCCAUCCACCUGAAGCCUGGUGCCCUCACGGCACACAUAGGAGAGGUCUUCCUCAUAGAAGAUGUGCUCCUCGUAAAAUAUCCAUAUACUUCCUUGACCAACACCACGGACACAAUCAGGAUAGUCUCAGAAAAACUACUCGGCAUGGCAGACGCCAUCCGGGCUACCAAGACUAGGGAAUCAAAGGCUCCUUCUAGUACCAACUCUCUGACUCUUUUUCAACUACUGGAGGAUAGGAUUCUGUUCUUACGGGGAAAAGUUGAUGAGGUACGGCUACCGACGAGGACGUUCGCGAUUUGCGGGACCACUACGCUCAUGUACUUUCCUUUGCUGCUCGAAAUCGCAGGGUGAUCAACGCCAAUUGUAGAAAACUUGCGCAAUUGCAUACUAACAUUGAGGAACUGCUAGAGCAGACAAUUAAGAUGGUAGAGGUUAUCAACAUAGUUGUCAAACAGAUCGACCAGGUGAAUCAGUUUCUCCUCCUAGAUCAGGCCUUGCAUGUAUUGGAAAACGUCAUUAACUCCGUCGCAACGGCUAAUCAGCAGGUUAUUAGCAACAUGGUUGAUGCAGCGCACGGUAGAGUCACACCUGCCUUGUUCCCUCUACACGAUUUGAGAACGACUGUCCAGAUCGGGUAUCAAAAUUAUAGCCUGACGCCUUUAUUCACCCCGGACAUGAGUCAAUAUUUUUACCCCUUGAUUGAGUCCAGCCUCACCCCUGAUGCCAUAAUCAUUCAUGUUCCAUUUCAGACGGCGGACGUGUUUGAGGCACACGAAAUUGUCCCGUUCCCUUUUUCGGCAAAGGACAGUGUGUUGG